GACGAACGCUGGCGGCGUGCUUAACACAUGCAAGUCGAGCGGAGUGGCGAACGGGUGAGUAACGCGUGAGUAACUGCCCCCCUCUCUGGGAUAACAGUUGGACACGGCUGCUAAUACCUGAUAGUGGGGGAUGACUCGCGUCUUAUCUGCUUGUUGGUUGGGUAGUGGCCUACCAAGGCGACGACGGGUAGCCGGCCUGAGAAGGAGACAGGCCACAUGGGUCUGAGAUACGGACCAAACUCGUACGGGAGGCAGCAGUGGGGAAUAUUGCACAAUGGGGGAAAGCCUGAGGAAGAAACGCCGGGGGCGGGAGGACGGCCUUGGGGUUGUAAACCGCUUUCAGCCAUGACGCGGUAGUGGCAGAAGAAGCACCGGCUAACUACGUGCCAGCAGCCGCGGUAAUAC
Molecule: ribosomal RNA, 405 nt
Filed under: uncultured bacterium
Lineage: Bacteria
Description: partial 16S ribosomal RNA
Rfam family: Bacterial small subunit ribosomal RNA
Source: RNAcentral